This 511-nucleotide ribosomal RNA is filed under the name uncultured bacterium. RNAcentral's name for it is "partial 16S ribosomal RNA". It matches the Rfam family "Bacterial small subunit ribosomal RNA", at positions 28 to 523 of the family's 1533-position model. The record is from RNAcentral.
GACGAACGCUGGCGGCGUGCCUAAUACAUGCAAGUAGAACGCUGAAGGAGGAGCUUACUUCUCUGGAUGAGUUGCGAACGGGUGAGUAACGCGUAGGUAACCUGCCUGGUAGCGGGGGAUAACUAUUGGAAACGAUAGCUAAUACCGCAUAAGAGUAGAUGUUGCAUGACAUUUACUUAAAAGGAGCAAUUGCACCACUACCAGAUGGACCUGCGUUGUAUUAGCUAGUUGGUGGCGUAACGGCUUACCAAGGCGACGAUACAUAGCCGACCUGAGAGGGUGAUCGGCCACACUGGGACUGAGACACGGCCCAGACUCCUACGGGAGGCAGCAGUAGGGAAUCUUCGGCAAUGGACGGAAGUCUGACCGAGCAACGCCGCGUGAGUGAAGAAGGUUUUCGGAUCGUAAAGCUCUGUUGUAAGAGAAGAACGAGUGUGAGAGUGGAAAGUUCACACUGUGACGGUAUCUUACCAGAAAGGGACGGCUAACUACGUGCCAGCCGCCGCGGUAA